AACGAACGCUGGCGGCAUGCCUAAUACAUGCAAGUCGAACGAGACCUUCGGGUCUAGUGGCGCACGGGUGCGUAACGCGUGGGAACCUGCCCUUAGGUUCGGAAUAACUCCCCGAAAGGGGUGCUAAUACCGGAUAAUGUCUUCGGACCAAAGAUUUAUCGCCUUUGGAUGGGCCCGCGUUGGAUUAGCUAGUUGGUAGGGUAAAAGCCUACCAAGGCGACGAUCCAUAGCUGGUCUGAGAGGAUGAUCAGCCACACUGGGACUGAGACACGGCCCAGACUCCUACGGGAGGCAGCAGUGGGGAAUAUUGGACAAUGGGCGAAAGCCUGAUCCAGCAAUGCCGCAUGAGUGAUGAAGGCCUUAGGGUUGUAAAGCUCUUUUACCCGGGAUGAUAAUGACAGUACCGGGAGAAUAAGCUCCGGCUAACUCCGUG
This 433-nucleotide ribosomal RNA is filed under the name uncultured bacterium. Its description in RNAcentral is "partial 16S ribosomal RNA". It matches the Rfam family "Bacterial small subunit ribosomal RNA", at positions 29 to 507 of the family's 1533-position model. The record is from RNAcentral.